Molecule: non-coding RNA, 69 nt
Organism: Ictidomys tridecemlineatus (thirteen-lined ground squirrel)
Lineage: Eukaryota; Metazoa; Chordata; Mammalia; Rodentia; Sciuridae
Source: Rfam
GGGGUUGUGGCUCAAUGGUAGAGUGCUUGCUUAUCAUGUGUGAGGCCCUGGGUUCGAUCCUCAGCACCA